Long non-coding RNA from Symphalangus syndactylus (siamang), 225 nucleotides. RefSeq lists it as uncharacterized. The record is from RefSeq and is a predicted model, not a curated record. NCBI's taxonomy places the organism in Eukaryota, Metazoa, Chordata, Mammalia, Primates, Hylobatidae.
AGAAAGAAGCUUUUCAGUUUGAUGUAGGACUACCACAUGAUCCAGCAACCUGACUUCUGAACAUUUAUCUGAAAGGAUUGAAAACAAAAUGUUGAAGAGGCAUCCUAAGGGGUAGCUUCACUCCAAGAGCUACAACCGAGCAGUAGCACAAAUGAGACCACAGGUGCUGAGUGUGAAAGCACGCUGACCAAGAAGCCAUUAAGGAAACCCGAAUUUGGAUCCUGA